UACGAGUGCCUCAAGCGUUAUCCGGAAUCAUUGGGCGUAAAGGUUGUGUAGGUGGUUGUAUUAGUCUUCUGUUAAAUUCUUCGGCUUAACCGGGGCAUGCAGAGGAAACGGUACGACUAGAGGAUGCGAGGGGUCUGUGGAAUUCAUAGUGUAGCGGUAAAAAUGCGUUGAUAUUAUGGAGAACACCAAAAGCGAAGGCAGCAGACUGGAGCACUCCUGACACUGAAACAAGAAAGCGUGGUCGCGAAUGGG
RNAcentral lists this ribosomal RNA (252 nucleotides) under uncultured bacterium. RNAcentral's name for it is "partial 16S ribosomal RNA". It matches the Rfam family "Bacterial small subunit ribosomal RNA", at positions 524 to 776 of the family's 1533-position model. The record is from RNAcentral.